GCCCGGUUGGUGGAACUUGGUCAGACACGCGGCGCUCAAACCGCCGUGCCCUUUGGGGCAUGUGGGUUCGAAUCCCACACCGGGCACCU
RNAcentral lists this transfer RNA (89 nucleotides) under Streptomyces himastatinicus ATCC 53653. Its description in RNAcentral is "tRNA-Leu". It matches the Rfam family "tRNA". Rfam says of the family: Transfer RNA (tRNA) molecules are approximately 80 nucleotides in length. Their secondary structure includes four short double-helical elements and three loops (D, anti-codon, and T loops). Lineage: Bacteria; Bacillati; Actinomycetota; Actinomycetes; Kitasatosporales; Streptomycetaceae. The record is from RNAcentral.